GAUGAACGCUGGCGGCGUGCCUAAUACAUGCAAGUCGAGCGAACGGACGAGAAGCUUGCUUCUCUGAUGUUAGCGGCGGACGGGUGAGUAACACGUGGAUAACCUACCUAUAAGACUGGGAUAACUUCGGGAAACCGUAGCUAAUACCGGAUAAUAUUUUGAACCGCAUGGUUCAAAAGUGAAAGACGGUCUUGCUGUCACUUAUAGAUGGAUCCGCGCUGCAUUAGCUAGUUGGUAAGGUAACGGCUUACCAAGGCAACGAUGCAUAGCCGACCUGAGAGGGUGAUCGGCCACACUGGAACUGAGACACGGUCCAGACUCCUACGGGAGGCAGCAGUAGGGAAUCUUCCGCAAUGGGCGAAAGCCUGACGGAGCAACGCCGCGUGAGUGAUGAAGGUCUUCGGAUCGUAAAACUCUGUUAUUAGGGAAGAACAUAUGUGUAAGUAACUGUGCACAUCUUGACGGUACCUAAUCAGAAAGCCACGACUAACUACGUGCCAGCAGCCGCGGUAAUACGUAGGUGGCAAGCGUUAUCCGGAAUUAUUGGGCGUAAAGCGCGCGUAGGCGGUUUUUUAAGUCUGAUGUGAAAGCCCACGGCUCAACCGUGGAGGGUCAUUGGAAACUGGAAAACUUGAGUGCAGAAGAGGAAAGUGGAAUUCCAUGUGUAGCGGUGAAAUGCGCAGAGAUAUGGAGGAACACCAGUGGCGAAGGCGACUUUCUGGUCUGUAACUGACGCUGAUGUGCGAAAGCGUGGGGAUCAAACAGGAUUAGAUACCCUGGUAGUCCACGCCGUAAACGAUGAGUGCUAAGUGUUAGGGGGUUUCCGCCCCUUAGUGCUGCAGCUAACGCAUUAAGCACUCCGCCUGGGGAGUACGACCGCAAGGUUGAAACUCAAAGGAAUUGACGGGGACCCGCACAAGCGGUGGAGCAUGUGGUUUAAUUCGAAGCAACGCGAAGAACCUUACCAAAUCUUGACAUCCUUUGACAACUCUAGAGAUAGAGCCUUCCCCUUCGGGGGACAAAGUGACAGGUGGUGCGUGGUUGUCGUCAGCUCGUGUCGUGAGAUGUUGGGUUAAGUCCCGCAACGAGCGCAACCCUUAAGCUUAGUUGCCAUCAUUAAGUUGGGCACUCUAAGUUGACUGCCGGUGACAAACCGGAGGAAGGUGGGGAUGACGUCAAAUCAUCAUGCCCCUUAUGAUUUGGGCUACACACGUGCUACAAUGGACAAUACAAAGGGCAGCGAAACCGCGAGGUCAAGCAAAUCCCAUAAAGUUGUUCUCAGUUCGGAUUGUAGUCUGCAACUCGACUACAUGAAGCUGGAAUCGCUAGUAAUCGUAGAUCAGCAUGCUACGGUGAAUACGUUCCCGGGUCU
Molecule: ribosomal RNA, 1372 nt
Filed under: uncultured bacterium
Lineage: Bacteria
Description: bacterial SSU rRNA
Rfam family: Bacterial small subunit ribosomal RNA
Source: RNAcentral